GUACUUCACCUAAAAUACUAUUUGGUACAAUACAUCCAUAGCAGUUAUAUGAUUAAACUCCAGUAUAUUUCUUUCUUCGGUUAUAAUUAAAUUUUAAAACAAAUGUUUUCUCAAGCUGAAUUGUGAAAUUAUUUUUGCUUCAAUGCACUGACUUUAGGUGGAUGCCUGUAUUCAGAAAGCCAAGUAUAUUCUGGAUAUACUUUCCCAAGUUCUGCCACUUAGCUUCAGGUUACUUAGAAAGCACAAAGCAGGAAAUGGGUAUCUAAUGGCCCACUGCUCUUGGAAUGGCCAGAAUGCAGCGUCAAGAGAAAACAGAGGUCUGGCUGGGAGAACUACCAAUUUUGGAAUCAGAUCCUUGGAACAACAUGUAGCAAGCCUCACUGUAUUGGAGAACAAAUGAACGGAAGACGGACGCAUUUCUAUAUUGGAUUUGUACUUUUAAGUCUCUCCUAAUUGCUUUCUUUUGAGAAAGGUAAAACCAGGUUAGAAAAAGCUGAUGUAAUCUUUUCACAUCUAAUAGAUGUCACGGUACUUAGCAAUUAGCAAAAGGAACAGUCAGAUUUAAUGGCUGCAUAUUUUUGUAUGGUGAAUAACUUUGGGUUCACUAUUAAUACCGCUAUUUUUGUAAUCGAGUACAUUAUGAAUGUCUUUAUUUUUCAAACCCCAAAGAUGCUGCUUUUGAAUGUUCAUGCAGAUGAUCUGGCUAAUAUCAGAUAUGCUACAUGGAAAAACUACUGGUGGUGGUUACUGCUGCUAUCCUUUGUUUGUUUAACGGCCGUCACUAAUGUGAGUCUUGAUCCUUGCCAAUAUCAUUUUGCUGGGGAAGUCCGUUUUGAAAAAAGCUUAACUGGCUGAGUAGCUGGUCAGUCUUUGCCUCUUGAAGUGACUUGCCAAGAAAUUCUGUUGCCAUAGAUAACCACAUUUGUCUCCUGGUGGGCAAGGAAGGUGAGGAAGAGAACUAGGAGAGAGAACGUCAAAGAAAUCCAUGUUGCUGCUACCGGAUGCAUAAGUUACGAUAAAGCUUUAAUGAUGAUAAUUUUAUAUUCAUUUAAAAACAGUUUUAACAAUAUUUAAAAUGAAAACUAAAGAUCAGUAACAGCAUUAAAAAAAAAACAGCUAUGUUUAAAAGCUCCCUUUUAUCUUAUUCCCUUUUAUCUAUAUUUUUAUAUGCAAUCUUUAUAGCGCUAUCUAAAGAAUCUUUUCAGAAAUAGUUCUAAAACCCGUAGGGCCUAAUUCCCUAAUAAAUGUGAUUAUAUUUACAGCCUUAAGCAUAAAAGCUCGAGCUUUCGUUUUUAGCUUGUUACAGGAAAGCUUUAGACUGACCAUUCAAAUAAGUUGCAGCUAUUAAAAAUACUUUAUUUCAAAGAGGGCAUUAUCUACUUCGCAAGUUCUUUUCCAAGCUUGUUUGAGAUCUGUAUAUAUUUUAAUGGUCCUAUGUUUCAGACUGUAAAGUUAUCGUUGAAUAACUCCUUGCCAGUCUUAAGUACUGUAAACUAAGUACGUUUGAAAAUUAUAUAGCUAAUACAUUACUCUCAUGUCCUUUACAUUUUGCUCAAAGGACAACUUGAAGUCACAAGCUAAUGAUUCUCAAUCAUAUUUGACUAUAUCAUGCGAUGUAGGAAUUGGGGGGGGGGCAGAAAAAUAAAAUAAGUAAGCACUUCUAAUCAUCUUACCUCUUUUUUUCUUCUGUAACUCCAGUCCCAUCCUCCACUUCCGUCUGUGGCAUUUAUAUUAAUGUUGCAAUUGAUAAAACAUACUCUUUCUUAACAUUUGGUCCUGUAAAACCUUGAACAUUCACUCUGCAAACUUUAAGGCAACAUGGGCAUUAAUAACUGAUGUAUCAACUAGUUAAUUUAUAGGUUCAGUGUUGCUAUUCAGCCAUCUUAAGGCACCAUGUGUAGGCUUCAUCACUAAAAUCCUCAAGAAACAAAAUUAAAAAAAAAAGUAUUGAUUUGUUGAAUUGGCAUUUUCAGAUUGGAUUUUGGUUAAUAAAGUAGAAAAUGAGUAUAAUGUACCAAUGAAAUUAAGUAAACAAAGGCUUUUAUUGACAUAAAGAAUAGUACAAUAUUUUGGCACUACAUCCUUAAAUCCAAUAGUAAAGUUACAGAUUGAAUUUUGAAGGUCUUAAACACUGACUUUGUUGUCUGAAAAUGAACAAUUAAGGUUAUAAUCACCCAAAAGUAAAGUAUGAAAA
Molecule: non-coding RNA, 2194 nt
Organism: Thamnophis sirtalis
Lineage: Eukaryota; Metazoa; Chordata; Lepidosauria; Squamata; Natricidae
Source: RefSeq, a predicted model, not a curated record